This 440-nucleotide ribosomal RNA is filed under the name uncultured bacterium. RNAcentral describes it as "bacterial SSU rRNA". It matches the Rfam family "Bacterial small subunit ribosomal RNA", at positions 958 to 1398 of the family's 1533-position model. The record is from RNAcentral.
AACGCGAAGAACCUUACCAGGUCUUGACAUCCCUCUGAAUAGGGUAGAGAUAUCCUAGGCCUUCGGGACAGAGGAGACAGGUGGUGCAUGGUUGUCGUCAGCUCGUGUCGUGAGAUGUUGGGUUAAGUCCCGCAACGAGCGCAACCCUUGAUCUUAGUUGCCAGCACCUCGGGUGGGCACUCUAGGAUGACUGCCGGUGACAAACCGGAGGAAGGCGGGGAUGACGUCAAAUCAUCAUGCCCCUUAUGACCUGGGCUACACACGUACUACAAUGGCCGGUACAACGGGCCGCGAAGCCGCGAGGUGGAGCCAAUCCUAGAAAGCCGGUCUCAGUUCGGAUUGCAGGCUGCAACUCGCCUGCAUGAAGUCGGAAUUGCUAGUAAUCGCGGAUCAGCAUGCCGCGGUGAAUACGUUCCCGGGCCUUGUACACACCGCGCAUA